AAUGCAUCACCGAGUCGGACCCUGUUUGGGUCGGGUCGGCGCGUUGGGCCCGGUGUUCGGAUCAUUUGGUCUUUGGGUCACGGGCUCACGGCAGGGAGAGCCGGCGCGGAGGUAGCGGCACGGAGGCGGAAGACGGAGUGGAGCAGAGACGAACCCCUCCAAAGCGCACGCCCGCACGCACGGGGCACGGCCGUCCGCGUCCGCCUCACCGACCGACCAGGUGGAUCAGCAAGUUCGUGAAGAUACGCCAGUCCUCUAGCUGAGCCAAGAGCAAUCCUGAGCCUCUUCUUCCAGUCCAGUAUAGCAAAUGUCGCCCCGGACAUUAGGGCAAGCAGAAGAAAACUGCAGCCUACUGCAGUUCCAGCUAUAGCACGUUUGCUCAUUUGAGAUUUCCCACUGCCAACACCACCUGAGAUAGGAAGUACCAGUGAAUUUCUUAUGUAAAUAUGGACAUAAUUUACAUUGAUGAUGUUGGAUACCUGAAAAUGAGACAUAUGUAUCUCCAAUGAAGUAAUAAGGUCCAAAAAUACUUGGUGGCUUAUAAGUUUGGUUGCUAAAAGCAAAGCCA
Aegilops tauschii subsp. strangulata is the source of this 568-nucleotide non-coding RNA. NCBI's taxonomy places the organism in Eukaryota, Viridiplantae, Streptophyta, Magnoliopsida, Poales, Poaceae. The record is from RefSeq and is a predicted model, not a curated record.